Molecule: ribosomal RNA, 364 nt
Filed under: uncultured bacterium
Lineage: Bacteria
Description: partial 16S ribosomal RNA
Rfam family: Bacterial small subunit ribosomal RNA
Source: RNAcentral
CCUACGGGAGGCAGCAGUGAGGAAUAUUGGUCAAUGGCCGGAAGGCUGAACCAGCCAUGCCGCGUGAAGGUCAGUGCCCUAUGGGCGUUAAACUUCUUUUGUGCGGGAGCAAUAAUGGUCACGUGUGGCCAGACGAGAGUACCGUACGAAUAAGCAUCGGCUAACUCCGUGCAAGCAGCCGCGGUAAUACGGGGGAUGCAAGCGUUAUCCGGAUUUAUUGGGUUUAAAGGGUGCGUAGGCUGUGAGGUAAGUCAGCGGUGAAAUGCCCCCGCUCAACGGGGUGACGUGAGAUGGAUACUGCCUAGCUGGAAUGCGGAUGCCGUGGGAGGAAUGUGUGGUGUAGCGGUGAAAUGCAUAGAUAUCA